AGAGUUUGAUCCUGGCUCAGAACGAACGCUGGCGGCGUGGCUAAGGCAUGCAAGUCGAACGGAGUAGUUGGAUCGCAAGUGAAGGCUACUUAGUGGCGGACGGGUGAGAAGAAGAUAGGUAACGUACCCUGGACUCAGGGAUAGCGGCGUCCCGCAAGGGACUUUAGCGAAAGUGCCGGUAAUACCUGAUAACACCACUGAACCGCAUGGUUUGGUGAUCAAAGUUCCGGUGGUCUGGGAUCGGCCUAUCCCCCAUCAGCUAGUUGGUGAGGUAACGGCCCACCAAGGCAAAGACGGGUACCAGGCGUGAGAGCGUGGUCUGGCACAUCGGGACUGAGACACUGCCCGGACAUCUACGGAUGGCUGCAGCAACGAAUAUUCCGCAAUGGGCGAAAGCCUGACGGAGCGACGCCGCGUGCUGGAUGAAGCCCCUCGGGGUGUAAACAGCUGUCAGGGGUACGGAAGCAAGUGACCAACCCCAAAGGAAGCCUCGGCUAACUCUGUGCCAGCAGCCGCGGUAAUACAGAGGAGGCAAGCGUUGUUCGGAAUCACUGGGCUUAAAGGGUGUGUAGGCGGGAUGGAAGGUGCUUAGUGAAAGCCCCCGGCUUAACCGGGGAACUGCUGGGCAAACCGCCAUUCUUGAGGCCAGAAGGGGUGCCCGGAACUUUGGGUGGAGCGGUGAAAUGCGUUGAUAUCCAAGGGAACGCCGAUGGCGAAAGCGGGGCACUGGGCUGGUUCUGACGCUGAGACACGAAAGCGUGGGUAGCAAACAGGAUUAGAUACCCUGGUAGUCCACGCUGUAAACGAUGCGCACUAGGUAUCAGCGACUCUGACGUUGUUGGUGCCGUCGCGAAAGCAAUAAGUGCGCCGCCUGGGGAGUACGGCCGCAAGGCUAAAACUCAAAGGAAUUGACGG
Molecule: ribosomal RNA, 915 nt
Filed under: uncultured bacterium
Lineage: Bacteria
Description: bacterial SSU rRNA
Rfam family: Bacterial small subunit ribosomal RNA
Source: RNAcentral